GACGAACGCUGGCGGCGUGCUUAACACAUGCAAGUCGAACGGAAAGGCCCUGCUUUUGUGGGGUGCUCGAGUGGCGAACGGGUGAGUAACACGCGAGUAACCUGCCCUUGACUUUGGGAUAACUUCAGGAGACUGGGGCUCAUACCGCAUAGGAUCUCCUGCUGCAUGGGGGGGGUUGGAAAGUUUCGGCGGUUGGGGAUGUACUCGCGGCUUAUCAGCUUGUUGGUGUGGUAGUUGCUUACCAAGGCUUUGACGGGUAGCCGGCCUGAGAGGUUGACCAGGCACAUUGGGACUGCGAUACGGCCCAGACUGCUACGGGAGGCAGCAGUGGGGAAUAUUGCAGAAUGGGCGGAAGCCUGAUGCAGCAACGCCGCGUGCGGGAUGACGGCCUUCGGGUUGUAAACCGAUUUCGACUGUGACGAAGAGUGAGUGACGGUAAUGGGUAAAGAAGCACCGGCUAACUACGUG
RNAcentral lists this ribosomal RNA (468 nucleotides) under uncultured bacterium. RNAcentral describes it as "partial 16S ribosomal RNA". It matches the Rfam family "Bacterial small subunit ribosomal RNA", at positions 28 to 507 of the family's 1533-position model. The record is from RNAcentral.